GGAUGUGAGGGUGAUCUGGCUACUACACCUGUCACCCCAUUGAUCACCAGGGUUGAUUCGGCUGAUCUGGCUGGCCAGGUGGGUGUCCCCUUCCUCCCUUGCCACUCCAUGUGCAUCCCACCUGAAGCUGUGCGCUCGGUCCAAGAGGAUGACCUUCUCCAAAUAGAGGAGGACCCGUCUUCAGUCAAGGGUAUACGAGUAGCUGCGCUCCCCUGCUAGAACCUCCAAACAAGCUCUCAAAAUUAAACAAAAUAAAGGUCUGUGGAUGUAGCUCAGUGGUGCAGCCCUUG
This 290-nucleotide small nuclear RNA is filed under the name Jaculus jaculus (lesser Egyptian jerboa). RNAcentral describes it as "7SK RNA (ENSJJAG00000007928.1)". It matches the Rfam family "7SK RNA", at positions 1 to 280 of the family's 331-position model. From Rfam's summary of the family: 7SK was discovered as an abundant small nuclear RNA in the mid-70s but a possible function has only recently been suggested. Two independent studies have found that 7SK RNA binds the CDK9/cyclin T complex (known as elongation factor P-TEFb). P-TEFb activates transcription by phosphorylating the C-terminal domain of RNA polymerase II. The record is from RNAcentral. Lineage: Eukaryota; Metazoa; Chordata; Mammalia; Rodentia; Dipodidae.